CCUACGGGUGGCAGCAGUAGGGAAUCUUUCACAAUGGGCGAAAGCCUGAUGGAGCAACGCCGCGUGCAGGAUGAAGGCCUUCGGGUUGUAAACUGCUUUUAUAAGCGAGAAAUAUGAUGGUAACUUAUGAAUAAGGAUCGGCUAACUACGUGCCAGCAGCCGCGGUCAUACGUAGGAUCCGGGCAUUAUCCGGAGUGACUGGGUGUAAAGAGUUGCGUAGGUGGGAUAAUAAGUAGCUAGUGAAAUCUGGUGGCUCAACCAUUCAGACUAUUAGCUAAACUGUUAAGCUCGAGACCGUUAGGGGUAACUGGAAUUUCUAGUGUAGGAGUGAAAUCCGUAGAUAUUAGAAGGAACACCGAUAGCGUAGGCAGGUUGCUGGGACGGUUCUGACACUAAGGCACGAAAGCGUAGGGAGCAAACGGGAUUAGAUACCCGGGUAGUC
RNAcentral lists this ribosomal RNA (442 nucleotides) under uncultured bacterium. Its description in RNAcentral is "partial 16S ribosomal RNA". It matches the Rfam family "Bacterial small subunit ribosomal RNA", at positions 338 to 795 of the family's 1533-position model. The record is from RNAcentral.